This 201-nucleotide long non-coding RNA is filed under the name Elaeis guineensis (African oil palm). RNAcentral describes it as "long non-coding RNA (EGUI_LNC067907)". The record is from RNAcentral. Lineage: Eukaryota; Viridiplantae; Streptophyta; Magnoliopsida; Arecales; Arecaceae.
UAGGAAGAACAUCUGAUGGAGCCUUACAGCAUAUUGACAGAUGGUUCUUUAGUGGGAGUGGUGUAUGUGAUCUUUUAACCUGAGAUCAUCAUGGUACCUUGUGUACAUAGAUCCUUACUUUGAUUUAUUUUCUAGCACACCACUCUAAGAUGUGUGUGGGAUAUUCUAGGUAUGGUAAAGUAUGUAUGGGAUUGUGAGUGG